UUUGAUUGUGUUCUUAUAAACUUUUUGCGGUUUUUUAGGAUUUUUGUUUCAGUUAUAUAUUAGAUUUAAUUAUAUAAUUUAUUUUUUCAUAGUCACCAACAUGAUGAUUUCAUGACCAUGUUUUAAAACAUGAUUUUUCUUAAAAGAAUCAAAUUAAGGGAACCCGAUUAAACUGAACUGAAACACAAACCAUGUCGAAUACAAAUCAGACUGAAACUUAUGGUUUACUUAAGUUUAAAAAAUUCUAGAAUAAAUUAACCAAACCGAACCGAACCUACAAAAUAAUCGAAGUGCCCACCCCUAGUUGUGUUUGUUUGGUUCUUUCUACUUAUUUGGUUGAUUUGACUGACUAUCAGUUAGAUAUGUAUUAUUUCUUUUGAAAACUGGCAUUCAAUUGGUUACUGUGACUAUCAGUUGGUUAUGUCUUAUUGUUGAAG
RNAcentral lists this long non-coding RNA (437 nucleotides) under Brassica napus (rape). RNAcentral's name for it is "long non-coding RNA (BNAP_LNC026193)". Lineage: Eukaryota; Viridiplantae; Streptophyta; Magnoliopsida; Brassicales; Brassicaceae. The record is from RNAcentral.